CCUACGGGGGGCAGCAGUGAGGAAUAUUGGUCAAUGGACGAGAGUCUGAACCAGCCAAGUAGCGUGAAGGAUGACUGCCCUAUGGGUUGUAAACUUCUUUUAUAUGGGAAUAAAACGUUCCACGUGUGGGAUUUUGUAUGUACCAUAUGAAUAAGGAUCGGCUAACUCCGUGCCAGCAGCCGCGGUAAUACGGAGGAUCCGAGCGUUAUCCGGAUUUAUUGGGUUUAAAGGGAGCGUAGGUGGAUUGUUAAGUCAGUUGUGAAAGUUUGCGGCUCAACCGUAAAAUUGCAGUUGAAACUGGCAGUCUUGAGUACAGUAGAGGUGGGCGGAAGUCGUGGUGUAGCGGUGAAAUGCUUAGAUAUCACGAAGAACUCCGAUUGCGAAGGCAGUUCACUGGACUGCAACUGACACUGAGGCUCGAAAGUGUGGGUAUCAAACAGGAUUAGAUACCCUGGUAGUC
RNAcentral lists this ribosomal RNA (460 nucleotides) under uncultured bacterium. RNAcentral's name for it is "partial 16S ribosomal RNA". It matches the Rfam family "Bacterial small subunit ribosomal RNA", at positions 338 to 795 of the family's 1533-position model. The record is from RNAcentral.